GUACUGAGACACGGACCAGACUCCUACGGGAGGCAGCAGUGAGGAAUAUUGGUCAAUGGGCGCAAGCCUGAACCAGCCAUGCCGCGUGCAGGAUGACGGUCCUAUGGAUUGUAAACUGCUUUUGUACAGGAAGAAACACUCGGACGUGUCCGAGCUUGACGGUACUGUAAGAAUAAGGAUCGGCUAACUCCGUGCCAGCAGCCGCGGUAAU
RNAcentral lists this ribosomal RNA (211 nucleotides) under uncultured Cytophagales ESR 18. Its description in RNAcentral is "partial 16S ribosomal RNA". It matches the Rfam family "Bacterial small subunit ribosomal RNA", at positions 316 to 524 of the family's 1533-position model. The record is from RNAcentral. Lineage: Bacteria; Pseudomonadati; Bacteroidota; Sphingobacteriia; Sphingobacteriales.